GUCCACGCCGUAAACUAUGGAUGCUAGCUGUUAUGAGUAUCGACCCUCGUAGUAGCGAAGCUAACGCGUUAAGCAUCCCGCCUGUGGAGUACGGUCGCAAGACUAAAACAUAAAGGAAUUGACGGGGACCCCGCACAAGCGGUGGAGCGUGUUGUUUAAUUCGAUGGUAAGCGAAGAACCUUACCCAGGCUUGACAUCCUGCUAAGGACUCUGAAAAGAGACUGUGCCUUCGGGAAGGCAGUGACAGGUGAUGCAUGGCCGUCGU
This 265-nucleotide ribosomal RNA is filed under the name uncultured bacterium. Its description in RNAcentral is "partial 16S ribosomal RNA". It matches the Rfam family "Bacterial small subunit ribosomal RNA", at positions 793 to 1055 of the family's 1533-position model. The record is from RNAcentral.